GAACGCUGGCGGCGUGCUUAACACAUGCCCGUCGAACUGACAGGCCCUGCUUUUGUGGGGUGCUCGAGUGGCGAACGGGUGCGUAACACGUGAGUAACCUGCCCUUGACUUUGGGAUAACUUCAGGAAACUGGGGCUAAUACCGGAUAGGAGCUCCUGCUGCAUGGUGGGGGUUGGAAAGUUUCGGCGGUUGGGGAUGGACUCGCGGCUUAUCAGCUUGUUGGUGGGGUAGUGGCUUACCAAGGCUUUGACGGGUAGCCGGCCUGAGAGGGUGACCGGCCACAUUGGGACUGAGAUACGGCCCAGACUCCUACGGGAGGCAGCAGUGGGGAAUAUUGCACAAUGGGCGGAAGCCUGAUGCAGCAACGCCGCGUGCGGGAUGACGGCCUUCGGGUUGUAAACCGCUUUCGCCUGUGACGAAGCGUGAGUGACGGUAAUGGGUAAAGAAGCACCGGCUAACUACGUG
RNAcentral lists this ribosomal RNA (465 nucleotides) under uncultured bacterium. RNAcentral describes it as "partial 16S ribosomal RNA". It matches the Rfam family "Bacterial small subunit ribosomal RNA", at positions 31 to 507 of the family's 1533-position model. The record is from RNAcentral.